GUCGAGAAUCUUUCACAAUGGGGGCAACCCUGAUGGAGCGACGCCGCGUGGAGGAUAAGGUCUUCGGAUUGUAAACUCCUGUCAUGCGUGAACAAGGUUGCUUGGAUAAUACCUGAGCAAAUUGAUGGUAGCGCAAGAGGAAGAGACGGCUAACUCUGUGCCAGCAGCCGCGGUAAUACAGAGGUCUCAAGCGUUGUUCGGAAUCACUGGGCGUAAAGGGUGCGUAGGUGGCGUGGUAAGUCAGAUGUGAAAGCCCGGGGCUCAACCUCGGAACUGAAUCCGAUACUGCCAUGCUAGAGUACUGGAGAGGUGACUAGAAUUCUCGGUGUAGCAGUGAAAUGCGUAGAUAUCGAGAGGAAUACCAAAGGCGUAGGCAGGUCACUGGACAGUUACUGACACUGAGGCACGAAGGCCAGGGGAGCGAACGGGAUUAGAAACCCUUGUAGUCC
This 449-nucleotide ribosomal RNA is filed under the name uncultured bacterium. RNAcentral describes it as "partial 16S ribosomal RNA". It matches the Rfam family "Bacterial small subunit ribosomal RNA", at positions 354 to 796 of the family's 1533-position model. The record is from RNAcentral.